GUAUCACCUUGAGUUCUUUUCAAGCACUUCAUGUGGCACUAUUUCAUUUUCAAUGCUUGCUGUGAAGUGUUUGGGGGAACUCUCGAUGUCAC
Molecule: microRNA precursor, 92 nt
Filed under: Oryza punctata
Lineage: Eukaryota; Viridiplantae; Streptophyta; Magnoliopsida; Poales; Poaceae
Description: mir-395 microRNA precursor family
Rfam family: mir-395 microRNA precursor family
About the family: mir-395 was identified in both Arabidopsis thaliana and Oryza sativa computationally and was later experimentally verified. mir-395 is thought to target mRNAs coding for ATP sulphurylases. The mature sequence is excised from the 3' arm of the hairpin.
Source: Rfam by way of RNAcentral